This 271-nucleotide ribosomal RNA is filed under the name Salmonella enterica subsp. enterica serovar 4,[5],12:i:-. Its description in RNAcentral is "partial 16S ribosomal RNA". It matches the Rfam family "Bacterial small subunit ribosomal RNA", at positions 859 to 1129 of the family's 1533-position model. Lineage: Bacteria; Pseudomonadati; Pseudomonadota; Gammaproteobacteria; Enterobacterales; Enterobacteriaceae. The record is from RNAcentral.
GUUAAGUAGACCGCCUGGGGAGUACGGCCGCAAGGUUAAAACUCAAAUGAAUUGACGGGGGCCCGCACAAGCGGUGGAGCAUGUGGUUUAAUUCGAUGCAACGCGAAGAACCUUACCUGGUCUUGACAUCCACAGAACUUUCCAGAGAUGGAUUGGUGCCUUCGGGAACUGUGAGACAGGUGCUGCAUGGCUGUCGUCAGCUCGUGUUGUGAAAUGUUGGGUUAAGUCCCGCAACGAGCGCAACCCUUAUCCUUUGUUGCCAGCGAUUAGG